This 247-nucleotide unclassified non-coding RNA is filed under the name uncultured Sordariomycetes. Its description in RNAcentral is "sequence contains 5.8S rRNA gene, ITS2, 28S rRNA gene". The stretch from base 1 to 52 matches the Rfam family "5.8S ribosomal RNA", at positions 103 to 154 of the family's 154-position model. Lineage: Eukaryota; Fungi; Ascomycota; Sordariomycetes. The record is from RNAcentral.
AACGCACAUUGCGCUCACUAGUAUUCUAGUGAGCAUGCCUGUUCGAGCGUCAUUUCAACCCUUAAGCUCUGCUUAGUGUUGGGAAUCUGCUUAAUCGCAGUUCCUCAAAUCUAGUUGGCGGAGUGCAGUGAACUCUGAGCGCAGUAAUUUAUUUCCUCGCUUUUAAAGUCCGCUGUGCUUUAGCCACUAAACCCCCUAUUUUUUAAUGGUUGACCUCGAAUCAGGUAGGAAUACCCGCUGAACUUAA